Molecule: long non-coding RNA, 3589 nt
Organism: Dunckerocampus dactyliophorus (ringed pipefish)
Lineage: Eukaryota; Metazoa; Chordata; Actinopteri; Syngnathiformes; Syngnathidae
Exons: 3
Source: RefSeq, a predicted model, not a curated record
AAUGUAUGUGUGUUUGCGUGAAAGUCACAUGAAAAACUCUACAGCUCACGACUACUACAAUGUCAUGUUAAGAGUGGAUUAAAUACAAGCGGCAGCUUUGCUAGCUUGCUAGCCUCCAUAUAACAAAGCGUCAAGUAAGUGCAAGUCUUUUUUUUUUUUUCCAAUCAGCUUUAUUAAUGCCUCAAGUCGGUGCAAGUUCAGACUAACACUUGGUGACACCUUCUGACGCAUCACGCUGUCAUUGGCUGAUUUUCGGGGCACCGCCUCCGCUCUCAUCUCAUUGGCUGAGUUAUACAGCACGUACGUGAGUUUGUGUGAGAGACAGGUUUCUCCCUUCAAACUCCUUCCUCUUCGUAGUCACCCUGAAACUAACUUAAACAAUUAAGUUACAAAUUAAAAUUUUGCACACAGCAUUAUCGUGUAGUGCGUGUGUGUUUGUCUGUGAGACCAGCUGACUCUUAGACUCUUUGAGUCGUGUUUCGACUCAGGCUAAUCCUCCUCCUCCUCCUGCCUCCACUUGCGCUCCUGAUCAAGACAUCUCGUGAACGGUAGGAUUGUUUUUGUUUUUCAGUUUUAUUCAUUUACAGUAUUCUUACUUAUUACCUUAUUUUACAUUGGAAUGUUACUCUACUAUGUUUAUGAUAAUGUUUUCUUAUAUUUUCCCACCAUAUUUGGUGGACUUUGAAUAUUUUGAAGGUGUGAGUUUGGGAAGAUCUUGGAACGGAUUAGGCAAUUUACAUGUAUUGUACGCUUCGUAUAACAUAAAAACUCUAUAACAUAAAGGUUCUCGGAACAGAUUAUUUACGUUGUAGGGGCGUCUACUGUAUUUCGUUUUUUAAAAACCUGAAUAUUACACCUGUCUUACUCCUUUUCUAACCCGAAAAUUGGGUUAUGUAUACACCUAUCGGGAUAUCCUGCAGAAGGAACAUUAAUUUGUGUUCUGCGCAUGUUCUAUUCGAAAGGAAUCUUGUGUCUUUGGCAGAAACCAUUUGUAAACAACGCAAACGCCACACUUUUGGAGCGUGGAGGAAACAAGCCACCUCGUUAGUGUGGUGAAAGACAGGAACAUUACUCUUUUAUAGACGGUAGAAAGUACCGCGAUAGCGAAAUCUAUCAGAAGGUGAGCGAGAAGUUAUGCAAAGCAGGGUUUGUAUGAACGCAGCUUCAAAAGUGUCCGGGGGGCUCUGGUGGAUGUAGCAUGAAUAUGGGUGGCACAGCUCGAGCUCCAUUUCCUAUUUCUUCACAUUCUCGCCUUCCAUUAAUGAAGUAAGUGAGAUAGAAUAGUGUCGAGUACUGGUGGUGGGUCAGUACCAGCACCAAAGCGCAAUCAAAGGCGUUCGUUAUCCGCUCUGUCGUUGUUGUUUUUGGAUAUUGGACGAAGACGCGGAAAUGACAAGCAGCAUUGCGUUAUGACGUUUUCCGUGCGUCGAGCCUUUUUUUUUCCCCCCCACGUCACGCAUGUAAACGGGUUAUUCCAAAUGUUUCAGAAACCAGAACAUUGACCUUAACCCGGAUUGACUGCAUGUAAACAUAGCGAUAUAUAAAUGUUACUUUAUUUACUGUGGAAACUUUUCAGGGAGCUAUUUAAGUUUUUAUUAAACUUCUAAGAGAUGCUUCUGAGUCUAGGAACUCCAUGGUCUUUGUUUGGUUCAAUAAACAUGCUUUAGGCAGUUAAACCAAGUUAAGUGUAUGUAUCAUUCAACAUUUUUACACCAAUUUUUUACACUUUUACUGGAAAUUAUUAUCGGCUCCGAAUAUCGGUUAUCAGCUACUACUAAUAAUCGGUAUCGGUCCUGAAAAAGCCAUAUGGGUCGAUAUCUACAGCAGAUACCUUAAAUCAGGUAUCUGGAUCUGGAUGAGAAGUGAAACAAUGUGGAUCUGUGCAUCCCUAGUGUGGCAAAAGAGGGAGCUUAGUGUAAAGACUGCGUACGUGUGCGCCAACCCAGAACACCGGCAGCUGAUAGUGCAGUGUUGUGUUCCACGAGAGGAUAGCUUGUAACAGCUGGGGCACCACCGCCUCAAUCCCCGUUCUCCCCUUGUAUGCUGGCCGAGGAGCUGCUGUUUCUGUCUGUGCAGGCCACAUGAGAAGCUGGGACAUACUACAAGGGCGGGUACCUGCUGUCAAAGAGUGAAAUGUGUUCUGAUAAGGCGGGCACAGGUGAAGGCUGGAUGACAAGAGAGUUCACUCUGUGCAUCUGUCUCAGCACCUGGGUGCAUUGGUUCCAUAACGGAAUGAACACAGUUGGACGCAGUAGACUGUCAUUUGAAACUUCUGCAAACAUCCCUAGGGUCACGGAACAAAAAAGUCAAGUGGUAGACCAAUGUCACCAGCCCUGAGCCGGAGGAUCACUGGCUGUCAGUCAAGACAAGGGACCAUCCUCGACCCCCAUGAAGGUUGUUACUGGUGCCAAGUGCAGUCCAAUAACCAUCAAACGCCAUCUGCCAAAGAUGACUUUUAAGAAGAAAACGGUCUUCAAAAGUCCUCGUCUACGACAGAUUUAGCUUCAAGAGUAAUUCACAAAAAUCAGAAAAAAAAAAAGAAUACACAAAAUUGCCUGUUUGGAAUUUUCAGGAGAGCACCAAACAUCCAUCCAUCCAUUUUCUAUACCGCUUCUUCCUCAUUAGGGUCGCGGGGGCAUGCUGGAGCCUAUCCCAGCUGACUUCGGGCGACAGGCGGGGUACACCCUGGACUGGUCGCCAGCCAAUGGCAGGGCACAUAUAGACAAACAAGCAUUCACACUCACAUUCAUACCUAUGGACAAUUUAGAGUCUCCAAUUAACCUAACAUGCAUGUUUUUUGGAAUGUGGGAGGAAACCGGAGUACCCGGAGAAAACUCACACGCACACGGGGAGAACAUGCAAACUCCACACAGAAAUGCUCAGGGGAGAAUCGAACCCAAAUCUUCACGAUCUCCAGGCUGUUACUGUGUUGGCCAACGUGCUAACCACUAGACCACCGUGCGGCCCAACACCAAACAUAGAACACUGAAAAGGUGAAACCAAGUUUUAUCCUCUGAUGAGGAAAAAAAUAUAACCUUGACGGUCCUGAUGGCUUCCCAUGUUACUUGCAUGCCAAGGAGGUCCCACAUGAGAUGUUUUCCCACACAGCACAGUGGAGGGGGCGCCAUCAUCUUCCUUCAAUGGAACAAUGGAACUACAGGUUGUGCAUGGGCGUCAUACGGCGACUGGAUAUGUGGAGAUGUUGCAGAGGCCAUCCCUCAUGACUGAAGGCUCUCGUCUGUGUGGUAAUGACUGGCUUUUUCAACAGGACAAUGCUGCACUUCAUAAUGCCAGCCUGACAAAGGACUUAUUCCAGAGGAAUACGCUUACUCCUUUUGGAUCAUCCUGCAUGUUCCCCUGAUCUAAAUCCAACUGAACAUUUAGGGAUGGAUGGCAAGGCAACUUCACAAAAAUGGAUAUAUGCUCCAGACGGUGGAUGCCCUCCGUGUGGCCAUCUUCACCAACUGGAGCAACAUUCCCACUAGCCUCCUGGCAACACUGGCAUCAAACAUGCCCAUACCCAUUUUCCAGCUGUUUAACAAGAAUGGAGCAGCUAAUUAUUACUGACUAUUUGAACAUUAUAUUCAUA